Molecule: ribosomal RNA, 183 nt
Filed under: Triticum aestivum (bread wheat)
Lineage: Eukaryota; Viridiplantae; Streptophyta; Magnoliopsida; Poales; Poaceae
Description: partial small subunit ribosomal RNA
Source: RNAcentral
AUGGACAAGUGCGGGCUGUCCAAGAAGAGGAGCGGUAGAGGAGCAAUGGCCACGCGCAAGAACGGCGGCGGGCCGUCGUCGUUCCCGCGGCGGUGCGCGCGGCUCGUCAGGGAGCAGCGCGCGCGGUUCUACAUCGCGCGCCGCUGCGUCGCCAUGCUCGCGUGCUGGCGGCACUACUCCUGA